This 901-nucleotide long non-coding RNA is filed under the name Mus musculus (house mouse). RNAcentral describes it as "long non-coding RNA chr6:54892594-54893495". Lineage: Eukaryota; Metazoa; Chordata; Mammalia; Rodentia; Muridae. The record is from RNAcentral.
UCCUUAUAGGGUUGUUAUCAGAUGUUCAAACUAUUCUUCAUUUUUGACUGUGAGUGUGUGUGUGUGUAUGUGAGUGUGUGUGUGUUUUCAUAGAGAAGCAAAGAGCAGUGUGGCAUGAACUAACAUCUCCACGAAAAAAUGAAAAAUGUGAUACUAUAGUAUUUACUAAUGUGUGUGUUUCUUAGCUUUGAUCCUGGGUCCUGAGAAUCUCAAGAUUGGACAUCAAAAGUAACAGUUCUCUUAUCACUGUCUGCCCAUGCCUGCCAUUUCUGAUCUAAUAUGUUAGAGUUGACAUAAUAUACCCAUCAUUUUUUUUUUUGAAGACUUAAUAAUUGCCUGCGUUUUGUUAGCAGUAACUAUGGUACCAGAACUGUUUUACCAGCCAAGCUUGUGCACUUCUGGUAUCCCAGCACCCGAGAUGUUGAGGCAGAGGCAGAGGAUCAUGGGUUUGAAACCAGCUUGGGGUACUCAGUGAGUUUGAGACAAGUCUGAACUGUAGUGUGAGAGCUUGUCUCAAAGUUUGGUCAUCAUGUUAGUGUUGGGUGUAUGCUGUGUGGCUAGGAGACUCUGGUCUGGGAAGAAACAGCAUGAAGAGUGGACCUGAUGGCACUGAGUAGCAGGUCAUUGCAUGGCUUUGCAGAUGACUUGUUACAUGGAUUUCUUUGCUUGAAAAACCACAAUAUUUACCUCUUGAUUUAUUCGUGGUUUCCACAACUCUUCUAUAAUACCUCUUAAUUUCCUCUAUUAGAAAGUAUUUUGUUCUUGUUAAACAAGACCCUAAAAGCAUUGAUCAUAAGAAAUAGAGAAAAUGUAUUAGGAACAGCCUGUAUCAGUGUGUUCUGAUCGGAAACAGAACAAUUCAUCAUUGAUAUUUUAAUAAAUAAAGUUUCCAAAUGAUCUC